UGCAUCAGUGCCUCCUGUUGACUUGGAUAUCCUGAGUUUCAAUUUAAGAGUGUCCGGUAACUUUACAGAAACAUCCAUUCUAGGUUAUUUCUAUCACGUGAGCAUGAGUCAGGCAGGGGGAAGGCAGUGCUGAUACACCAGGAGGAAAACACCAGGCAGAAGGAAAACACCAGGCAGAAGGGAUUUUAGAGGCUGGCAACUCCAACAUCUGUAAAAUAGACUGGCAAUCUGGAGACCAGGGAAGAGAUGAAGUUGCAGCUGGAGUCUGAAGACAGUCUAGAUGCAGAAUCCCCUCUGCUUGGAGGGACCUCAAUGUGUUCUCUUAAGGCCUUCAACUAAUUGGAUGAGAUCCAGCCACAUUAUGGAGAGGAAUCUGCUUUACUGAAAUUAGCUCUGAAGAGUGUUGGAGGACAAAUUUAACUUCAGCAUUGGAGAUGAAAAAUGAACCAGAAAAUGUGUUCAGAAGCCGAUGAAGACACUAGAAAGGGUGUUUUUUGGAUAAACAUCCAAAAGUGGAAUUGCUGAACCGUAAGGAUGUUCUAUGUCCAAUUUUUUGAGGAACCUCCAUACUUUUCACAGCAGCUGCCUCAUUUUGAAUUCCUACCAAUAGUGAGUAAG
Long non-coding RNA from Camelus dromedarius (Arabian camel), 618 nucleotides. RefSeq lists it as uncharacterized. Lineage: Eukaryota; Metazoa; Chordata; Mammalia; Artiodactyla; Camelidae. The transcript has 4 exons. The record is from RefSeq and is a predicted model, not a curated record.